AGAAAAGUCUAACCUGAAAAGCAGUAUCUGAAGACCCUGUAUUCUCUUCCAGCAGGAAAGGACCGUUUCCAGCCGGGAAGUCACAGCUUGGUGACCUCACCCUGUCUGCCUUAAGAUUGUCAGCUACCUGGGGUGGAAGUCCAUGUCAAACUCAUCUGUUUCCCAAGGCUCCUCCUCAUGGAAGUUGCUAUUAAGUCCUCUACUAAGUCAUAAGGACGCCCAAGCCGUUCCUGGAGAAGCCCCGGUGGGAAGACACUGAGUCCUCCCAGGAAGUGCCAGCACCAGCUCGCCAGCCUUGUUGUGACUGCACCUCUUUGAACCGGGUCCUGCAGCUCCAGUCAGGUCUGAUGACUGCAGCCCCAGUGACAUCUCAGCUGAAGCCUCAUGUGACAUCCUGGGCCAGAGCCACCGAGCUCCCUUCUUCGUGAAUUCAUGACCCACACGAACAGUGAGUUUGAAAAUGUUCGUUACUGCCUAAGUUUGAAGGGUUUUUUUUUUUGAAACACAAUUCAUAUACAUAACUGUCAGCAUAUUAGAGUGUACAGUUCAGUGAUAUUUAGCACAUUCCUUGUUAUACGACCAUUGCCACUGUCUGAUUCCAGAAUAUUUCCAUCCCCUCAAAAUGAUAUGCCAUGCCUCGUAGUAGUCACCCUUAUUUCUCUCUACUGCCCAUCACCUAGCAACUGUUAAUUUACUCUCUGACUGUAAGGAUUUGUUUAUUGCUGACAUAUGCUAUAAAUGGAAACAGAACAUAUGGUUUUUAAAAAAUACAUUUUUAUUGAUUUCAGAGAGAAGAAGGGAGAGGGAGAGAGAGCUAGAAACAUCAGUGAUGAGAAAGAAUGAUUGAUCGGCUGCCUCCUGCAUGUUCCCAACUGGGGAUCAAGCCUGAAAACUAGGCAGUGCCCUAACUAGGAAUGGAGACAUGACCUCCUGGGACCUGGGUAGACACUCAACCACUGAGCCACACCAGCCAGGAACAAUAUGUGGUUUUUUUUGAAUGACUUCUUUUAGAUAUCACAAUGUUUUCAAGGUUUAUCUGUGUUGCAGGACAGGUCAGUCACUUAUUCCUGUAAAAGAAAGACUCUUUUUAAAAACAGUUCUAGGUUUAUAUCAAAAUCUAGAGGAAGGUAUAGAGACCUCACAUAACCUGCUGCCCUCACACAUGCAUAGCCGCUUUCAUUGUCGGCAUCACUAACCAGAGGGGUACAUUUUUAACCAGGGAUGAACCUACAUUGGCACAUCAUUGUCACCCAAAGUCCAUGGUUUACCUUAGGGUUCACUUUUGAUAUUGUGGGAAUAAGUUUGGAUGAAUAUAUACUGGUAUUCAGCGUUGGGCAAAAGUGGGUUUACAGUUGUUCCUUUGAGAAAACAAUAGUUAACAAUAAUACAAGAAUAAACUGUUUUGCAUAUUCAUAAAUGUGAACCUACUUUCCCCCCACCCUGUAUAUCCAUCAUUAUAAUAUCAUACAGAAUGCUUUUACUACACUAAAAAUCUUCUGUACUCUGCCUGCAUUCUUUUUUGUAGGUGCAUAAUAUUCCACUGUAAUGCUAUACUGCGU
Molecule: long non-coding RNA, 1559 nt
Organism: Pipistrellus kuhlii (Kuhl's pipistrelle)
Lineage: Eukaryota; Metazoa; Chordata; Mammalia; Chiroptera; Vespertilionidae
Exons: 3
Source: RefSeq, a predicted model, not a curated record